This 303-nucleotide small nuclear RNA is filed under the name Chinchilla lanigera (long-tailed chinchilla). Its description in RNAcentral is "7SK RNA (ENSCLAG00000021872.1)". It matches the Rfam family "7SK RNA". From Rfam's summary of the family: 7SK was discovered as an abundant small nuclear RNA in the mid-70s but a possible function has only recently been suggested. Two independent studies have found that 7SK RNA binds the CDK9/cyclin T complex (known as elongation factor P-TEFb). P-TEFb activates transcription by phosphorylating the C-terminal domain of RNA polymerase II. Lineage: Eukaryota; Metazoa; Chordata; Mammalia; Rodentia; Chinchillidae. The record is from Rfam by way of RNAcentral.
GGAUGUGAGGGCGAUCUGGUUGUGACAUCCGUCACCCCAUUGAUCGCCAGGGUUGAUUCAGCUGAUCUGGCUGGCUGGGUGUCCCCUUCAUCACUCAAUGCUGCAUGUGCGUCCCUCCCGAAGCUGUGUGCUCCGUUGAAGAGGACAACUACCCCCGAAAGAGGAGGGCCACUCCUCAGUCAGGGGUAUAGGAGUAGCUGCGCUCCCCUGCUAGAACCUCCAAACAAAAACAGAAAAUACAAAUUAAGAUGGCAGAGGUCCAAAUGUCAAUGACCACAAUAAAGUUAUAUUAAUUUCUCCUAU